This is a long non-coding RNA of Glycine soja, 528 nucleotides long. RefSeq lists it as uncharacterized. The transcript has 2 exons. The record is from RefSeq and is a predicted model, not a curated record. Lineage: Eukaryota; Viridiplantae; Streptophyta; Magnoliopsida; Fabales; Fabaceae.
AACGGAUAUAUAUCCAAACAUGCAAUCAAAAGUGUUUUUGAAACACUUGUUAGCAAAAUUAAUGGAGAUGCUCAAUCCUUGAAAUGAGACAAUUUUUCUUUACAUAUAUAUACGUCUGAACUUGGUCUUGAUCUGAAGUCACAUGAUCAGUCUCGUUGUUCUAUAGCUUCAAAUGAAGAGGAUCAGCGCAAUUCUUUUUUUGAUAAAUAGCACGUACAUUGAAGAUAAUAAUAGGAUAAUUGCAUGUUUGUCAAAUUUAUGUGAGUGCUGAAAUUUCUUUGUCGGAGACAGGAAAGGUUGCAGAGACAGCUAACAACGUAAAAGGAAAGGGAAGCUAUGUAUUAAUUCUGAAUUAGAACAAGAUGCGGUUGUUAGUGGUACCUCUAAAAGCUGAGAGAGUAGGCAGAAUCAAUCCCAGUUGACUUGUCAUACCCUUCUCCCCUUUGGCAAAAAAUAAUGUCACCUUUUCUCUUUGACUCACUUUCUUCCUUCUCUCCAUUAAUGCAAGCUUUCAGCUUUCUCUCUCCA